This 774-nucleotide ribosomal RNA is filed under the name uncultured Neocallimastigales. Its description in RNAcentral is "partial large subunit ribosomal RNA". It matches the Rfam family "Eukaryotic large subunit ribosomal RNA", at positions 23 to 634 of the family's 3401-position model. Lineage: Eukaryota; Fungi; Neocallimastigomycota; Neocallimastigomycetes; Neocallimastigales. The record is from RNAcentral.
AGAGAGAGACAUGCGCGCAUAUCAAUAAGCGGAGGAAAAGAAACUAACAAGGAUUCCCUUAGUAACGGCGAGUGAAGCGGGAAGAGCUCAAAUUUGAAGUCUUCAAGGUUUUACCUUGACGAAUUGUAGUUUAAAGAAGUGUUUUCUGCUGAAGUUUUGGUAAAAGUUCUUUGGAAUAGGACAUCAUAGAGGGUGAGAAUCCCGUAUUUGACCAUUAUUUUCAGCUUUGUGAUACACUUUCAAAGAGUCGGAUUGUUUGGGAAUGCAGUCCAAAAUGGGUGGUAAAUUUCAUCUAAAGCUAAAUAUUGGCGAGAGACCGAUAGCGAACAAGUACCGUGAGGGAAAGAUGAAAGAACUUUGAAAAGAGAGUUAAACAGUACGUGAAAUUGUCAAAAGGGAAGCGUUUGACACCAGUGUUGUUUUCUCGAAAAUCAAUUAAAAAUGGCUCGAUUUUGUAUUGUUGAGACCUUAAAAGCUCACUGUACAUUUUUCGUGUCUUUUUUAAUGCACUUUUCGUUUAACAAGUCAACAUCAGUUUCUUUUGUUGUAAAAGGGUCAUUGGAAGGUGGCUUUCUUUUCGGAGAAAGUGUUUAUAGCCUUUGGCCUCUGCAAUCGGAGAGACUGAGGUCUGCAGCGUAGACCUCUUCGGGGUUAGAUACAUUUGUGCUAAGUUAUAGCUUUUUAUAGACAACUUGUUGACUAUAAUUAGUCUUGUAGCUUACUCGCUUAUGCUAUUUUACCUACGCUUAGGAUGUUGAAGAUGUAGCACAUCAU